This 568-nucleotide ribosomal RNA is filed under the name Ulva lactuca. RNAcentral's name for it is "eukaryotic LSU rRNA". It matches the Rfam family "Eukaryotic large subunit ribosomal RNA", at positions 364 to 1006 of the family's 3401-position model. The record is from RNAcentral. Lineage: Eukaryota; Viridiplantae; Chlorophyta; Ulvophyceae; Ulvales; Ulvaceae.
AUGAAAAGAACUUUGAAAAGAGAGUCAAAAAGUGCUUGAAAUUGUUGAGGGGGAAGCCAUUGGCAGGUCAAGAUGCGCCCGGGCUCGAAGCUUGGCCUAACGGCCGGUGUCACGCGCCGGGCGCCUGUCAGCGCGGGUUUGGCGUGCGGGAGAAACCCGCCUUUGUCGGCGGUCUAUGCCGCGCGCCGGUCUCCUGCUGGCUUAAGGCCGUCAAUGGGCCCGUCUUGAAACACGGACCAAGGAGUCUAACAUGUACGCGAGUUGGCGGGUGGAAAACCCGUGAGCGCAAGGAAACUGACUGGUGGGAGGGCCUGUGCCUGCACCAUCGACCGACCAUGAUCUUCUGUGAAAGGUUCGAGUACGAGCGUACCUGUUGGGACCCGAAAGAUGGUGAACUAUGCCUGAGCAGGGCGAAGCCAGAGGAAACUCUGGUGGAGGCUCGUAGAUGUGCUGACGUGCAAAUCGCUUUUCGGACUUGGGUAUAGGGGCGAAAGACUAAUCGAACCAUCUAGUAGCUGGUUCCCUCCGAAGUUUCCCCCAGGAUAGCUGGAGCUCAUCAGUUUUAUCA